RNAcentral lists this ribosomal RNA (496 nucleotides) under uncultured bacterium. Its description in RNAcentral is "partial 16S ribosomal RNA". It matches the Rfam family "Bacterial small subunit ribosomal RNA", at positions 29 to 507 of the family's 1533-position model. The record is from RNAcentral.
AUGAACGCUGGCGGCGUGCCUUAUACAUGCCAGUCGAGCGCACAGAUGAGGAGCUUGCUCCUCUGACGUUAGCGGCGGACGGGUGAGUAACACGUGGAUAACCUACCUAUAAGACUGGGAUAACUUCGGGAAACCGGAGCUAAUACCGGAUAAUAUAUUGAACCGCAUGGUUCCAUUGUGAAAGACGGUUUUGCUGUCACCUAUAGAUGGAUCCGCGCCGCAUUAGCUAGUUGGUAAGGUAACGGCUUACCAAGGCAACGAUGCGUAGCCGACCUGAGAGGGUGAUCGGCCACACUGGAACUGAGACACGGUCCAGACUCCUACGGGAGGCAGCAGUAGGGAAUCUUCCGCAAUGGGCGAAAGCCUGACGGAGCAACGCCGCGUGAGUGAUGAAGGUCUUCGGAUCGUAAAACUCUGUUAUUAGGGAAGAACAAAUGUGUAAGUAACUAUGCACGUCUUGACGGUACCUAAUCAGAAAGCCACGGCUAACUACGUG